This 660-nucleotide long non-coding RNA is filed under the name Marmota monax (woodchuck). Lineage: Eukaryota; Metazoa; Chordata; Mammalia; Rodentia; Sciuridae. The record is from RNAcentral.
AUUCUUUAAAAAAAAAAAACUUGGUCAACUGGAUGUGAAUGAUGGAACAGAGUGAGGAGACAAAAUCUCUCUCAGGACUCUAAAUUGGUAACCUGAAGGAUUGGGAGUGCUGAGGAAGAGACCAUAAGCUAAAGGAAAGAGUAGGAUAGCAAGACCAGAAAACAGAUUGGUUUCUGACAUCCUGAAAAUAAGCCAUCUCAUUAGAGAUGGCCACUUGACAGUGGGGCUCAGAGGUUUGACACUCAAAGAGAGAACAGGAUUUGAAAUGCUUGUUGGGAAUUAUUAGCAUACAGGAGGUAAUUAAAACCAUGGGAGUGAGAUCCCCAAGCAGAAAAGUGUAAAAAGUAUAGAAAACAGCAGAAGUUGGAACCAUGGGAGGAACCCAGCUAUGCCACUCCCUGGCAGAUGGCAGAUCCAUAAAGUGCCCUGAGAAAGAGUGAUAGGAAUAAAACUGAUGUAUUCAAGUGAAGGAGGGAAAUUGUCUCAAAAGGAGGAAGUAAUCAUCUGUUGGAAAAGACCUAAAACUAGGACUGGGGCUGCAGCUCAGUGGCAGAGCACUAGCCUAAUACAUGUGACGUAUUGGGUUUGAUCCUCAGCACCACAUAAAAAUAAAUGAAUAAAAUAAAGGCAUUUUGUCCAUGUACAACUAAAAAAAAAAAA